Molecule: non-coding RNA, 87 nt
Organism: Dendrothele bispora CBS 962.96
Lineage: Eukaryota; Fungi; Basidiomycota; Agaricomycetes; Agaricales
Source: the annotation of a GenBank genome assembly
AGGAUCGUAGUGGCUAACAUUGCUGUCUUUCAUGAAAAAAUAUGUAGGAGAACACAGCAGCCCGGGGUUCGAUUCCCCGCGAUGGAA